RNAcentral lists this ribosomal RNA (764 nucleotides) under uncultured Pezizomycetes. RNAcentral's name for it is "SSU rRNA". It matches the Rfam family "Eukaryotic small subunit ribosomal RNA", at positions 804 to 1590 of the family's 1831-position model. Lineage: Eukaryota; Fungi; Ascomycota; Pezizomycetes. The record is from RNAcentral.
UUAGCAUGGAAUAAUGAAAUAGGACGUGUGGUUCUAUUUUGUUGGUUUCUAGGACCGCCGUAAUGAUUAAUAGGGAUAGUCGGGGGCAUCAGUAUUCAAUUGUCAGAGGUGAAAUUCUCGGAUUAAUUGAAGACUAACUACUGCGAAAGCAUUUGCCAAGGAUGUUUUCAUUAAUCAGUCGAACGAAAGUUAGGGGAUCGAAGACGAUCAGAUACCGUCGUAGUCUUAACCAUAAACUAUGCCGACUAGGGAUUGGGCGGUCUUCAUUUCGACCCGUUCAGCACCUUACGAGAAAUCAAAGUUUUUGGGUUCUGGGGGGAGUAUGGUCGCAAGGCUGAAACUUAAAGGAAUUGACGGAAGGGCACCACCAGGAGUGGAGCCUGCGGCUUAAUUUGACUCAACACGGGGAAACUCACCAGGUCCAGACACAUUAAGGAUUGACAGAUUGAGAGCUCUUUCUUGAUUAUGUGGGUGGUGGUGCAUGGCCGUUCUUAGUUGGUGGAGUGAUUUGUCUGCUUAAUUGCGAUAACGAACGAGACCUUAACCUGCUAAAUAGUCAGGCUAGCUUUUGCUGGUUGCAGGCUUCUUAGAGGGACUAAUGGCUUCAAGCCGUUGGAAGUUUGAGGCAAUAACAGGUCUGUUAUGCCCUUAGAUGUUCUGGGCCGCACGCGCGCUACACUGACAGAGCCAGCGGGUUUUUUCCUUAACCGAAAGGUUUGGGCAAACCUAGAAACUCUGUCGUGCUGGGGAUAGAGCAUUGCAAU